GCGUAGCGGCGGCGGCAGUCCUAGGGGAGGCAGCAGUGGGUAAUCCUGCACAAUCAAGCAAGCGUGAUCUAGCCAUUCCGGGUGAAUGAAGAAGUCUUUAGCAAGUAAUGAUGGCAAUAAAAAAGAUAAUGACGUACAUGAGAGAGACGUUGCC
RNAcentral lists this ribosomal RNA (154 nucleotides) under uncultured bacterium. RNAcentral describes it as "partial 16S ribosomal RNA". The record is from RNAcentral.